CCCGCGCCCCUACCAGGCGGAGCAGGCAGCCCCACAGCAGGGCGGCCGCGGGCCCGGGCGGCCUCGGCCGCGCCCCCAUGGGCUGUGGGUCGGGUGGGCGCGGGACUGCGCGCGGUGCUCGGCUCGAUCUGCCCGGGGCUCGGCGGCGCUGCUCGGUGGCCGGCACGGCGCGACUUCCUCUUCCGGCCCCGCCCUGGGCGCGGGAAACCCCGCGUGGGCUGGGCGCCCACAGGCGGCGACGGGAUGGGGCGGCCCAGGGACCUGGCCACGGGCGUCGGGCCCCUCCCGCGGCCCAGCACCGCUGCGCGCUCAGGGCUAGACCGGCUCCCCGCGAGGGACUGCGAACGCAGGUGACAAAGACAAAAAUUAAAGCCAGGAAACAGUUUGCUCUGCUGAAGCACAAGCUUGUGGAUCAGACCACGUCCCUGCACCGUUUGGGGCCGAAUCCGAACUGUCCCGGGCUUCCUGGGCCCCGACAGCGCGAGGUCGCGGUCCCCGCACUUCCCACGCUCCAGCCUGACGCAGCCCGCUCGCUUAGGCCAGGACGUGGUUUAAUUCUUGCAUAGCACUUUGCACUCACUGUGUUGUAUUCUCUUGCUGAUCCGUCUGUCCAUUUAUUUUGUUUUGUUUUGAGACAGGGUCUCCCUAUGUAGUUCAGGCUGGCCCUGAACUCACUGUGUAGCCCAGGCUGGCCUGGAACUCCUGGAGACCCUCCUGCCUCAGCCUCGUAUUAAUUAUGACGCUGCCUCCCACUUGCUAGAAUGGGUGCCGUGUUUGCUUGGUGUCCCCAACACCUGCAACACGGGGCAGUGUUCAGUCCUCACGUGCGUGUGAGAGGGACAGUGUCCUUGCCACCCCACCGCUCCAGGGAGGCACACACCGCCUAGGCUGAAUUGUGACUCUAGGAUGCUAUGGAAGGGACAAAGUGUGUGUGGGGGGGCUAAGUGGGGUGCCCAGAAAAUGCCAGCCUGAACGGAGUCUUGAAGGGGAGCUAAUUUCAGCAGAGGGCUGAGUGUCCAAGCCAACGGUGGCCCUGGAGAAGCCACCAAACUCGUGCUGGGCUGAAGGUCCCAGAGGUGACAGGUGAAGUUAGAGGAGAGGCGGAGGCCAAAUCCCAGAUCCUCGGGCCCGCUGGGCCUGCGGCCUCCGAGCCGUGCAGGGUGGCGGCGGGGCCAGCGGACAGAGUGGUGGAGGGAGGCCCGGCCUGCAGAGGCCUCAGGUCCUUCCGGGCUCUGGAGGCCCCGGGAAAGCAGAGCGCGGCGAUCCUUCCUGCGGGACGCGGCAGGCGAGUGUGCCUGCUAGCAGUCGAGCGGGCCCCUCUGACGCCCAGGGCCAAGCUUGCCGGCUGCCUGGGGAGCCACACCCCCACGGGAAAAGCGGGUGACUUCGUCUCCAGAGUCCUCUCCCCUCCAGUGCAGCCUGUGGCCCUCUGGCCGCCAGUCGCCUCGCUGUCCGGCUGAAGACCAGGCCUCGCCCGCCUGCGUUUCCCUCCCCUCGCCCGGCAGCCGCGCCUGUCUGUGCCCUGGGCCGCUUCCGCGGGCACUGUCUCUGCCAGUGGGGUUUUCGGCUCAAAAAUGCGGACAGCGUUCCUGUUUUGCUGCCUCACAGGGUCCUCGUAAACCUGUCACGACUCGCACCAGGCGGAAAGUCACUCGCAGAUGGAAAGAAAAAAGGAGGGGGAUAGAAAGAGAAGAAGAAAGCAGGAGGCUCCGUCUGUCCUAAUUCUUCUUCCACGACGCUUUCUCCUUGGUCAAAGUCCCUAUGCAGGAGGAAGGAAAGCAAAGCGAAAGGGAAAAGACGCUUGCUGGUUUGGCCUGGUGAGGUGGUGUAUGCCUGAGAUCCCGGCACGUCGAGCCUUGUUUCACACACACCCCCCAUCUCGUUUAAUGACUUGAUUUCUGGAGAGGCUGCCAAGAGCUCGUUUGGAUAUACUUUUGUACCUUCGGGGAUUACAUGGGUUGAAGGGUGCCUGGGUAUCUCUUAGAAAGUAUUUUUCUUCUCUGCAGAAACUAUAUAUAAAGCCUAAUUGUAGAAACUCAUGCUACAUUGCAGAUCCAUUUGAUUUGUAAAUAUAUUUAGUUUUUUUUCCCAAUGAUUAAAGAGCCUUAUUUCUUGUCAGACUUCUUUUUUUUUUUUUUUUUUUUUUUUUGAGACAAGGUCUCACUAUGUAGUUCAGGCUGGCCUUGAACUCACAGUGAUCCUCCUGCCUCAGCCUUCCAUGAAUCCCCCUCAAAAUCCUCCCCCUUGCCUUGAACACAUUUAUCCCAUGUUCUGGUCACUUUCUGCCCC
Molecule: long non-coding RNA, 2289 nt
Organism: Heterocephalus glaber (naked mole-rat)
Lineage: Eukaryota; Metazoa; Chordata; Mammalia; Rodentia; Bathyergidae
Source: Ensembl